Long non-coding RNA from Nerophis ophidion (straightnose pipefish), 7065 nucleotides. RefSeq lists it as uncharacterized. Lineage: Eukaryota; Metazoa; Chordata; Actinopteri; Syngnathiformes; Syngnathidae. The record is from RefSeq and is a predicted model, not a curated record. The transcript has 3 exons.
UUGUCCAAAAAUAAAACAGUAUUUUACAGUAAAAUUGUGUAAGUGUAAAGUUGCAAGACAUACUUGGUCAACAGCCAUACAGGUCACACUGAGGGUGGCCGUAUAAACAACUUAAACACUGUUACUAAUAUGCGCCACAAUGUGAACCCACACCAAACAAGAAUGACAAACACAUUUCGGGAGAACAUCCGCACCGUAACACAACAUAAACACAACACAACAAAUACCCAGAACCCAUUGCAGCACUAACUCUUCCGGGAUGGAUGGGUGUUGCAUAUUGUGUGGCACAAAGAGACGAGAAAAUGUUGACAGUCUAAAAGUAACACGUCUUCCUUCACUCCUUAUUUCAGUUUUUUUGAUGAAUUAUUAUGUGUAGACUCUAAAUAAAUUUCCAUGAGGUUUUUCCCUCCCAAUCGUGCAGCCCUUGCAGGCUUCUCUCCUCCCUCCAUGUCCAAAAAGAAUGAAAGGUUUGGCUGUCAUGUGCUCCAUUUCUAAACUGCCUGCCUGGCUUCACUGGAGCAUGGUUCGUGGGCGUAGACGCCGCUUCCUGUCGUCGUGGGAUGGCAUGUCCAUCCAAAGCUGUGUGGUUUUGCAAAGCAUGCUGGGUAGAGAGACAGGCAUGGGGAGGGGCGGCAUUUUUCCUCAACAAGCAUGGAGGAUCUUUAUGUUUUGAUGUGUUUGUUAUUAUUAUUAUUAUUAUUAUUAUUAUUAUUAUUAUUAAUAGCCCCGCGCUUGCACCGUUUUUCCAUCAUCACGCCAUCAUGAACCACGAUGAGUGGUCUUUAUUGUGAUCUGCUCCAGCAGUUGUUAGACUUUUGUGAGAACGUGUCUUUAAGACUUUGUAUGCUGCAUGAAUGCCUCAUGUAAUCAGAUGCUGUUUAUCACGGUGUCAAGACACGUGUGUUCGUGUGUGUUCGUGUGUGUUCGUGUGUGUGCGUGUAUGUUCGUGUGUGUGUGCGUGUGCAUGUGUGUGCGUGUGUGUGUGUGUGUGCGUGUGCGUGUGCGUGUGCAUGACAAGGUUUUUUUUUAAAGUAGCAGUAGAGUGGAAAAAGAAGUUGCCUCCAUAUUGAAACUAUUAUUUGAUAUAUGCUGUAUAUAUUAUAUAUAUAUAUAUAUAUAUAUAUAUACACAUAACAAUAUGACAACAAAAGACCCAAAGUUUGCCAAUAAGUAGAUAUGAUCAAAAUAGUAUCAAUUCCCGAGUCAUUUUGAGAGGUAACGAGGAACCACAGAUCCUUUCCCCAUCAACGACGAUCCUAAUCAAGCAAACUUUGUGAGAGACGAAGAUUACUUUAGGAACAAAUUGUGAUCCAGAACCUUAUGUUUUUUAACACGAACACAAAGAGGAUGAGCAAUUUUAGAAUGAUGGAUGUGGCUUUAUUGAGACAUCAUAGCAUUAGCAGCAUCGCUAGGUGCUAAUCAUACAAACUAACCAUAAUAAACAAACUCGUACUGUAAUAUUUCCACUCUCGCCUGGAUGUCGACCGACGAGACGCUCGCAUAAUUGCGUUUGAAUGAAGAUUCAAUCGCAAUCCUCAUGAAGGGUAAAAAAAAAAAAAAGUUGCCGCAACUAGCGUCCCUUUGUCUACUUUGAGGGAUGUGAAAGUACUAGCAGGUGAGAGAUGCAUGAAUUACAAUCUACAAUUGACUUCUAGCAAGUUUGAGACCGAGCAGAAGCAACUGCCAUCUUACAGUGUCAACAAUAGCAGCUAGCAUUAGCUCACUGUUAUAUACGCGCCUCUAAAAUAGUUUGUCUGCGUGAUCGCACGACGUAGAGGAGGAACCACAGAUCCCUUCCCCAUCAGCAACAACGCUCAUCAAGCAGACUUUGUAAAAGACGACGACGAUUACUUUGGGAACAAAUUGUGAUCCAGAACCUUAUGUUUUUGAGCCCGAACCCAAAGAGGAUGAGCAAUUUUAGAAUGAUGGAUGUAGCUUUAGUGAGACAGUAUAGCAUUAGCAGCAUCGCUAGGUGCUAAACAUACAAAUUAACCAUAAUAAAACAAACUCUUACUGUAAUAUUUCCACUCUCGCCAGGAUGUCAAACGACAGGACACUCGCAUAAUUCAGUUUAGAUGAAGAUUCAAUCGCAAUCCUCAUGAAGGGUUAAAAAAAAGUUGCCGCAACUAGCGUCUUUUUGGCUAUUUCGGGGUAUUUGUGAAAGUUGGUCCUUGGCCACAUUUGUCUACUAGCAGGUGAGAGAUGUAAGAAUUAUAAUCUACAAUUGACUUUUAGUAAGUUUGAGACCGAGUAGAAGGAGCCGCCAUUUUAUAGUGUCAACAAUAGCAGCUAGCAUUAGCUCACUGCUACCAUCUCGCCUCUAAAAUAGUUUGUCUGCGUGAUCGCGUGACGUAGAAGAGGAACCACAGAUCCCUUCCCUAUCAGCAACAAUGCUAAUCAAGCAGACUUUGUGAGAGAUGACGACAGUUAUUUUGGGAACAAAUUGUAAUCCGGAACCUUAUGUUUUUGAGCCCGAACAUAAAGAGGAUGAGCAAUAAGUUUUAGAAGCUGAAUGAUGGAUGUGGCUUUAUUGAGACAUUACAGCAUUAGCAACAUUGCUACGUGCUAAACAUACAAGUUAACUAAAACAAAUCAUGAAAAAAACACUUACUGUAAUAUUUCCACUCCCGCUGGGCGACCCGUGCAAUGGACGUCGAGUGGAUCUAACAUAAAAGGGUGCGAGUCCAGUCCAUAGUGGAUCUAACAUAAUAGUGUGAGAUUCCAGUCCAUAGUGGAUCUAACAUAAUAGUGAGAGUCCAGUCCAUAGUGGAUCUAACAUAAUAGUGAGAGUCCAGUCCAUAGUGGAUCUAACAUAAUAGUGUGAAUCCAGGACAUAGUGAAUCUAAUAUAAUAGUGUGAGAGUCCAGUCCAUAGUGAAUCUAACAUAAUAGUGAGAGUCCAGUCCAUAGUGGAUCUAACAUAGUAGUGUGAAAGUCCAGUCCAUAGUGGAUCUAACAUAAUAGUGUGAGAGUCCAGUCCAUAGUGAAUCUAACAUAAUAGUGUGAGAGUCCAGUCCAUAGUGGAUCUAACAUAAUAGUGAGAGUCCAGUCCAUAGUGGAUCUAACAUAAUAGUGAGAGUCCAGUCCAUAGUGAAUCUAACAUAGAAGUGUGAAAGUCCAGUCCAUAGUGGAUCUAACAUUAUAGUGAGAGUCCAGUCCAUAGUGGAUCUAACAUAGAAGUGUGAAAGUCCAGUCCAUAGUGGAUCCAACAUUAUAGUGAGAGUCCAGUCCAUAGUGGAUCUAACAUAAUAGUGUGAGAGUCCAGUCCAUAGUGGAUCUAACAUAGUGUGAAAGUCCAGUCCAUAGUAGGGUUGGGUAUCAAGAUCGAGUAUCGAUUGGAACCGGGACUAACUUUCCGAUUCUCCCGGAAUCGUUCAAAAGUUUAAAUUUCGAUUCCUAGUUUUGAUACCCAGUCCACUGACCGGAAAAAAAAAAUAAGUCAGCCGACCGGAAGAAGAAGCCGCUGAACACCAACGAAGAAGCGCCCACCGCCAGAAGUGUUAGCAUAGCCGAGCCUAUGUAGCCGAGCGAGUCAGUCAAGCAUGGAUAGCGGGCGUCGGCUGUCGAAAGUGUGGUUUUAUUUUACUACAAAAAAUAAAAUAACGGCGAAAUGUAACACGUCCGACAGGACUGUUUCGUGCUUAGGGGGGUGCACGUCGAACAUGAUGAAGCACCUCCGAGUUCAUGGAGUACAAAUAAAUGCAUGUCCCGUCUUCGACGCGCUGCGCCGACCGUCCUCCUCUGUCUCUGGCUCCGGCUCCGACGCCCAGCCUGGCACCUAGGUGACUGCAAUGCAGUCCGAAUCCGACAAUUUACAACCUGCUAGCCAGGCUCCGCGAUGUGCUCAGCGUACUCCGUUCACCGUAGCGGCAAUGGGGAAGAUGUCGGUGCCACAGACGGAAGAGUGCCACAGAAAGGUCACUGCACACAUAGUCAAAAGACUGCAUCCCUUUUCAGAAGUGGAAUCUCCAACAUUUAGGGAUAUGGUGAAAACUCUCAACCCAAAAUACAUACCACCUUCCAGGGACUACCUGGCAAACACAUUGAUCCCGGCAUGGUACAAGAAGAAUCAGAAUCGAGAAUCGUCAGGAAUCGGAAUCGAAACAAAGAAUCUGAAUCGUUCGAAUUCAAACAAUACCCAACCCUAGUCCAUAGUAGAUCUAACAUAAUAGUGAGAGUCCAGUCCAUAGUAGAUCUAACAUAAUAGUGAGAGUCCAGUCCAUAGUGGAUCUAACAUAAUAGUGUGAGAGUCCAGUCCAUAGUGGAUCUAACAUAAUAGUGAAAGUAAGUCCAUAGUGGAUCUAACAUAAUAGUGAGAGUCCAGUCCAUAGUGGAUCUAACAUAAUAGUGAAAGUCACGUCCAUAGUGGUUCUAACAUAAUAGUGUGAGAGUCCAGUCCAUAGUGAUUCUAACAUAAUAGUGUGAGAGUCCAGUCCAUAGUGGAUCCAACAUAGUAGUGAGAGUCCAGUCUAUAGUGGAUCUAACAUAAUAGUGAAAGUCAAUUCCAUAGUGGAUCUAACAUUAUAGUGAAAGUCCAGUCCAUAGUGGGUCUAAAAUAAUAUUGUGAGAGUCCAGUCCAUAAUGGAUCCAACAUAAUAGUGAGAGUCCAGUCCAUAGUGGAUCCAACAUAAUAGUGAGAGUCCAGUCCAUAGUGGAUCUAACAUAAUAGUGAGAGGCCAGUCCAUAGUGGAUCUAACAUAAUAGUGAGAGUCCAGUCCAUAGUGGAUCUAACAUAAUAGUGUGAAAGUCCAGUCCUUAGUGGAUCUAACAUAACAGUGAGAGUCCAGUCCAUAGUGGAUCUAACAUAAUAGUGAGAGUCCAGUCCAUAGUAGAUCUAACAUAAUAGUGAGAGUCCAGUCCAUAGUGGAUCUAACAUAAUAGUGUGAGAGUCCAGUCCAUAGUGAAUCUAACAUAAUAGUGAACGUAAGUCCAUAGUGUAUCUAACAUAAUAGUGAGAGUCCAGUCCAUAGUGGAUCUAACAUAAUAGUGAAAGUCACGUCCAUAGUGGUUCUAACAUAAUAGUGUGAGAGUCCAGUCCAUAGUGAUUCUAACAUAAUAGUGUGAGAGUCCAGUCCAUAGUGGAUCCAACAUAGUAGUGAGAGUCCAGUCUAUAGUGGAUCUAACAUAAUAGUGAAAGUCAAGUCCAUAGUGGAUCUAACAUUAUAGUGAAAGUCCAGUCCAUAGUGGGUCUAAAAUAAUAUUGUGAGAGUCCAGUCCAUAAUGGAUCCAACAUAAUAGUGAGAGUCCAGUCCAUAGUGGAUCUAACAUAAUAGUGAGAGGCCAGUCCAUAGUGGAUCUAACAUAAUAGUGAGAGUCCAGUCCAUAGUGGAUCUAACAUAAUAGUGUGAAAGUCCAGUCCAUAGUGGAUCUAACAUAACAGUGAGAGUCCAGUCCAUAGUGGAUCUAACAUAACAGUGAGAGUCCAGUCCAUAGUGGAUCUAACAUAAUAGUGAGAGUCCAGUCCAUAGUGGAUCUAACAUAAUAGUGUGAAAGUCCAGUCCAUACUGGAUCUAACAUAACAGUGAGAGUCCAGUCCAUAGUGGAUCUAACAUAAUAGUGAGAGUCCGGUCCAUAGUGGAUCCAACAUAAUAGUGAGAGUCCAGUCCAUAGUGGAUCUAACAUAGUAGUGAGAGUCCAGUCUAUAGUGGAUCUAACAUAAUAGUGAGAGUCCAGUCCAUAGUUGAAUUAACAUAAUAGUGAGAGUCCAGUCCAUAGUGGAUCUAACAUAAUAGCGUGAAAGUCCAGUCCAUAGUGGAUCUAACAUAAUAGUGAGAGUCCAGUCCAUAGUGGAUAUAAAAUAGUAGUGAGAGUCCAGUCCAUAGUGGAUCUAACAUAAUAGUGAGAGUCCAGUCCAUAGUGGAUCUAACAUAAUAGUGUGAAAGUCCAGUCCAUAGUGGAUCUAACAUAAUAGUGAGAGUCCAGUCCAUAGUGGAUAUAAAAUAGUAGUGAGAGUCCAGUCCAUAGUGGAUCUAACAUAAUAGUGAGAGUCCAAUCCAUAGUGUGGACAGCAGGAGAUCAUCUUUAGAGGAGACAGGUCAGCAGCGCAGAGACGUCCACAACUGAUGCACCGAUGAGUGAGUCCUGACUUUGGACAGCUUGUGCCUCAUCUGUGGUCACCGAAUCUGUGCCCCCCCUUCCCCCUCCACGAAGGAGAGGGGGCAGAAGAUAAGCGGCAGAUCAACUGAUCUAAAAGGGGGUAUAUUUAAAGGCUAGAGUGUACAGAUUAGUUUUAAUUGGGACUUAAAGCUCCUAUUAAGGUUGCAUCUCUAACUCUUACUGCUAGAACAUUCCAGAGUACUGGAGCCCCAAUAGAAAAUGCUUUAUAGCCCGCAAACUUUUUUUGGGGCUCUGGGAAUGUUUCCGUAUUUCCAGUAUGACUGAUCCGAAGAUAUAUUCAAAAUGGCCGACUGAAUUUGUGGCAUUUUCUGAUGUUCCGACGGUAUUUUCCACAUACUUUUCGGGUUGUGACUACAAUUGAAUAUGUUUAAUGAAGCAUGUAAAGUCCACUUGUUGUUCCACUCCACUGCUACUCUUCAGGGGCCGGCGCUGGGGAAUGAGACUGUGUUUGUGUUUGAGGGUGUGAAGGUGCUUUCACACCCGCUUGCAUCCUGACUAAAACAUCUCAUUCCUCGCAUGAGCUUUGAUCUAAGUGGCAAAUGGCCGCCCCCGUCCAAAAGUCGACCAUUUGCUGACUUAAGGGUUCUUGCCGAGCUCCUCUGCAUGUCCCGCACUGUGUGACUCAGCCACAGGAUCCUCUUCUCUCCUCUCACCUUGUUUCCUUUCCUUCCCUACGCCCGCUCUCCUCCACCCUGCCAGUCCGUCUGUCUUCUGUCAGCGCAUCCCACUUCCUGUCUGUCAUGUGAGCCAAUAACGUUUAGCUUCGACGUUUGUUCCCAUGUCUUUCUUUUAAUGUGGCGAGAUGGUCCACCUAGGUGACAUCACUUCCUCUCUAACGCUUUAAAGUUGUUAUUAUUAUUCAUUAUUCUGUUUUUAUUUUGAAUUUGGCUCAUCUUUUCUUUCUUACAUAUAUUUUCUCUAUUUCCCCUGAUGAUUUGUAUAUGUUGUU